AAUGACGGCAACGUGGAUUUCCUAUUUUGGGGAGCUGCAGCCCCAAACUGGACAAAAUCGAUAGAUCCCUUCCAUCUUUUCUCCUACGUGCGGAUAUAUUGAAAGAUCCGAUCUCAGAGCCUCAGAUUAGAAAUUUGAAGACGACGAGGGACUACAGAAUCCAUUCUUACUGCAAAAAAGCUUCUUCAUAGUCGUUGGAAGUUACCUAUGUUUGCUACAAUGGAAAGAUUCUCAAGCAAAUGGUCACAUCCUAUAUGGUAUCCCCCAGGGAAGAACAAUAGGCCCUUGGUGCCGCUAUAGCUUUUGCAAUAUCUGAUGCAAUGAUGUGAUCAUUUGACACUGACAAAGUUGCCAACAGCUCUCCCAAGUUAUCUCUAAUAAUGACCAUCCACUGCCGCAUUCCAAUUAACCUUAACAAAACCAAGAGUUAUAUUUGAAGAGGAUAUUUGAUGAGAGUUAUAUUUAACAUUAGCUAAAUAGUAUGUUAAAUAGUGUUUUUUAUUGGGUGAAUUUUAGAAGAAAAAAGAAAAUAGAGAGAGUUUAAUGUGAAUGCAUAUUAUAUUUAGGUAAAUCAUAAAUUUGUAGAAGAAUUUUAAUUUGAUAUAUUUAAUGCCAAAUCAUGUUCCUUAAAUUCCUCUUGGAACAAAAUCUACACCUUCCCCAUCUUGUGCAGACAUAUAAAAAAAAAUAAUAAUAAUAAUAAUAAUAAUAAUCUACACCUGAGGAGUAUAUAUAGAUAAAUAUAAAAAGUUUAUUUUCAUCAAACUAGUGAAGAUGAAAUCCUUUAUUCCACUGGCCGUAGCUUUUGUGCUCUUGGUAAUUUUCAGCCAAUGCUCAGGAAUGGCGCAUGCAAAUUUGGUGGACAACACAUGCACGAAGACCUAUAGCCCUGUCUUUUGUAUGUCGAUUUUAAGGGCAGACUCGGGCAGCGCCAACGCCGACUUGAAGGGACGUGGAUCCUCUCCAUUUCAUCUCCAUUUCAAAUGAAAUGGAGAGGAACAAGUUGUUUUUAGGGGGGUAAUUUUGCCAUUUUACUUUUUUUGGACAAAAAUGCCAUCUUAAAACAACAAUUUCCCUCCAUUUCAUUUGAAAUUUGAAAUUGAGAGGAUGCUUCUCUUACUUGAAGGGCCUUGCCCCCAUAAUGUUGCAUGCUGUGCAAAACAGGACCAAUGAAACUUUUGCCCAAAUGAAAAAUCUGCUCGGGCAAGCAAGCGAUCCGAUCAUCAAGGAGAUGCACAAUGUUUGUCGUACUGAAAUCAAACUGUUUGAUUGCAUCCCGACAAAUGAAACUUUUGGGCAUGUGGUAUAUUUGAUUGGGCAGACAAGUGACCCAGUUAUCAAAGAGAUGCUUAAUGGUUGUUGUAUUUGGCCACUGUGUACCAAAGCCGUCGACGUUAACUGAUCUGAAUAAUCUUGUUUACACCCUUGCCCGAAUAGCCAUGGACAUUAUAUCCACCUUUAAUUUGGUUAUUUAUUAUGUUUAAUCAAGCCUACUUUAUUGUAGCACUACAAUUUUCAAGGAACAAGAGAAUAUAUAUAUAUAUA
Molecule: non-coding RNA, 1545 nt
Organism: Corylus avellana
Lineage: Eukaryota; Viridiplantae; Streptophyta; Magnoliopsida; Fagales; Betulaceae
Source: RefSeq, a predicted model, not a curated record